This 784-nucleotide ribosomal RNA is filed under the name uncultured bacterium. RNAcentral describes it as "bacterial SSU rRNA". It matches the Rfam family "Archaeal small subunit ribosomal RNA", at positions 141 to 908 of the family's 1478-position model. The record is from RNAcentral.
UGGGGCUAAUCCCCGAUAGACGAGAACUCCUGGAACGGGUUCUCAUCCAAAAGGCGUUAGGGUCAUGCUCCUUAACGUCGCUCAAGGAUGGGGCCGCGGCCGAUCAGGUAGUUGGUGAGGCAACGGCUCACCAAGCCUUUAACCGGUACGGGCCGUGGGAGCGGGAGCCCGGAGAUGGGAACUGAGACAAGGUCCCAGGCCCUACGGGGCGCAGCAGUUGCGAAAACUCCGCAAUGCACGAAAGUGUGACGGGGCUACCCCGAGUGCCGUCCGCUGAGGAUGGCUUUUCUCCGCUGUAAGGAGGCAGAGGAAUAAGGAGAGGGCAAGUCUGGUGUCAGCCGCCGCGGUAAUACCAGCUCUCCGAGUGGUAGGGAUGAUUAUUGGGCUUAAAGCGUCCGUAGCCUGCCCUUCAAGUCUCUCGUUAAAUCCAGCGAUUCAAUCGUUGGACUGCGGGAGAUACUGUUGGGCUAGGGGGCGGGAGAAGCCGACGGUAUUUCCGGGGUAGGGGUAAAAUCCUAUAAUCCCGGGAAGACCACCAGUGGCGAAGGCGGUCGGCUAGAACGCGCUCGACGGUGAGGGACGAAAGCUGGGGGAGCAAACCGGAUUAGAUACCCGGAUAGUCCCAGCUGUAAACGAUGCGGGCUAGGUGUUGGAGCGGCCACGAGCCGCUUCAGUGCCGCAGGGAAGCCAUUAAGCCCGCCGCCUGGGGAGUACGGCCGCAAGGCUGAAACUUAAAGGAAUUGGCGGGGGAGCACCACAAGGGGUGAAGCUUGCGGUUCAAUUG